Molecule: unclassified non-coding RNA, 392 nt
Filed under: soil metagenome
Description: partial contains 5.8S ribosomal RNA, internal transcribed spacer 2, and large subunit ribosomal RNA
Rfam family: 5.8S ribosomal RNA (bases 1-122)
Source: RNAcentral
GAUGAAGAACGUAGCGAAAUGCGAUACUUGGUGUGAAUUGCAGAAUCCCGUGAACCAUCGAGUCUUUGAACGCAAGUUGCGCCCGAAGCCAUUAGGCCGAGGGCACGCCUGCCUGGGCGUCACACGUCGUUGCCCCCCCCAUCUACUCCUUCGGGAUUGCGGGGGGCGGAUGAUGGCCUCCCGUGCGCCUCGUCGCGCGGUUGGCAUAAAUGCCAAGUCCUCGGCGACGCACGCCACGACAAUCGGUGGUUGCGAAACCUCGGUUGCCCGUCGUGUGCGGUCGUCGCGCAUCGAGGGCUCGAAAAAAUUGCCGGGCUCCGGCUCGGCUUUCAACGCGACCCCAGGUCAGGCGGGGUUACCCGCUGAAUUUAAGCAUAUCAAUAAGCGGAGGA